RNAcentral lists this ribosomal RNA (597 nucleotides) under Fictibacillus barbaricus. RNAcentral's name for it is "bacterial SSU rRNA". It matches the Rfam family "Bacterial small subunit ribosomal RNA", at positions 61 to 642 of the family's 1533-position model. The record is from RNAcentral. Lineage: Bacteria; Bacillati; Bacillota; Bacilli; Caryophanales; Fictibacillaceae.
GUCGAGCGAAUGAUGAGGAGCUUGCUCCUCUGAUUUAGCGGCGGACGGGUGAGUAACACGUGGGUAAUCUGCCUGUAAGACGGGGAUAACUCCGGGAAACCGGGGCUAAUACCGGAUAACAAGAGAAGAAGCAUUUCUUCUUUUUGAAAGUCGGUUUUGCUGACACUUACAGAUGAGCCCGCGGCGCAUUAUCUAGUUGGUGAGGUAACGGCUCACCAAGGCGACAAUGCGUAGCCGACCUGAGAGGGUGAUCGGCCACACUGGGACUGAGACACGGCCCAGACUCCUACGGGAGGCAGCAGUAGGGAAUCUUCGGCAAUGGGCGAAAGCCUGACCGAGCAACGCCGCGUGAGCGAUGAAGGCCUUCGGGUCGUAAAGCUCUGUUGUUAGAGAAGAACAAGUACGAGAGUAACUGCUCGUACCUUGACGGUACCUAACCAGAAAGCCACGGCUAACUACGUGCCAGCAGCCGCGGUAAUACGUAGGUGGCAAGCGUUAUCCGGAAUUAUUGGGCGUAAAGCGCGCGCAGGCGGUCUCUUAAGUCUGAUGUGAAAGCCCACGGCUCAACCGUGGAGGGUCAUUGGAAACUGGGAGACU